This 400-nucleotide ribosomal RNA is filed under the name phytoplankton environmental sample. Its description in RNAcentral is "partial small subunit ribosomal RNA". It matches the Rfam family "Eukaryotic small subunit ribosomal RNA", at positions 587 to 985 of the family's 1831-position model. The record is from RNAcentral.
AGCUCCAAUAGCGUAUAUUAAAGUUGUUGCAGUUAAAAAGCUCGUAGUCGGAACCGAGGUGCCGGCGGGCGGUCCCUCCCCCGGAGGGUCUCACUGCCCUGUCCGGCCCUGAUCCGCCGGCGUGUGGCUGGUGCCCUUGACUGGAGUGCCAGCCGCGGCCGGAACGUUUACUUUGAAGAAAUUGGAGUGUUCAAGGCAGGCGCUACGCCCGAACAAUGGUGCAUGGAAUGAUGGAAUAGGACCUCGGUUCUAUUUUGUCGGUCUUCGGGACCAGAGGUAAUGAUCAAAAGGAGCGGUCGGGGGCAUUCGUACUGCGGCGUGAGAGGUGAAAUUCUUAGAUCGCCGCAAGACGGUCUGCUGCGAAAGCGUUUGCCAAGCACGUUUUCAUUGAUCAAGAACG